UACGGAGGGUGCAAGCGUUAUCCGGAUUCAUUGGGUUUAAAGGGUACGCAGGCGGGAGAUUAAGUCAGUGGUGAAAGCCCACAGCUCAACUGUGGAAUUGCCGUUGAUACUGAUCUUCUUGAGUACAGUUGAGGUAAGCGGAAUGUGGCAUGUAGCGGUGAAAUGCAUAGAUAUGCCACAGAACACCGAUUGCGAAGGCAGCUUACCAAGCUGAUACUGACGCUCAGGUACGAAAGCGUGGGGAGCGAACAGG
This 253-nucleotide unclassified non-coding RNA is filed under the name uncultured Bacteroidia bacterium. RNAcentral describes it as "contains 16S-23S intergenic spacer region". It matches the Rfam family "Bacterial small subunit ribosomal RNA", at positions 524 to 776 of the family's 1533-position model. Lineage: Bacteria; Pseudomonadati; Bacteroidota; Bacteroidia. The record is from RNAcentral.